Non-coding RNA from Triticum aestivum (bread wheat), 115 nucleotides. Lineage: Eukaryota; Viridiplantae; Streptophyta; Magnoliopsida; Poales; Poaceae. The record is from Rfam.
AUAAUACUCCCUCCGUCCGGAAUUACUUGUCAUCAAAAUGGAUGUGUCUAGAACUAAAAUACAUCUAGAUACAUCCAUUUCAAUGACAAGUAUUUUUGGACGGAGGGAGUAGUAG